GGGGAACCAGGGCAGAUUUGCCACGGCAGGAGCAUGCAGUGCUGCCUAUUCACGUCCUGGAAGGCCAAGAUGCAAAGGGAUCAACACUAGGGCUCAGCUCCCUUUCUCAUUUGUCCCUUUUUAUUCAGGCCAGAACCCCGGUCUGUGGGGUGGUGCUGUCCACAGCCAGGGUAGGUGUUUAACUCCUUGGUUAAGCCUGUCUGGAACACCCUCACAGAUGCACACAGAGAUGUGCCCAAUAGACUAACAGAGCUGUACCACUAUUACCCCCUGUCGCGGUAAAUCUCUCCAACCCAAUUAUGUUCUGGCAAUGAAAACACAACACAAUUAAUACGAAUACAUGUUGUGUGCCUAGAUUGGCAGAUCUACCACUACACUAUCAUCUUCCACAUCUAUGAGACCCUUAGAACUUGCAGUUUCUCCAGGCCGUGUGCUUCUGCUCCGCUUUUCUUCUUCCUCCUCCUCUGCCUUCUCUCUGUCUCAAACCUCCUUCUUUUCUUUCUUUCCGUUCCACCUUGCCUCUCUCUGCCCAAUCAUCAGCUCUCCUUUAUUUUACAAAUUAAGGUGGGAAGAAGGUUUACAGGAAAUCACCUGAGUGCUGACUCAUUCCUUGUUCUCAACCCCUCAAAGGAGAACAGAAUUGACAUCAAAUAUAAUUAGCCCCAGGGCUCUCCACAACAACCCCCAAAGAAACGCCAUACCCACUACUGAUCAUUCCGUGUUCUCCCAAAUUCUCCAACCAUACACAACCUAUAAUCUACUCUCUGUCUUCCUGGAUUUACCUAUUCUGGACAUUUUGUAUACAAUGGUUGGUGUUUUGUGACUGGCCUCUUUUAAUUAGUACUAUGUUUCCAUAGUUCAUUUGUUUUAUAACAUACUAGUGCUUGUUUGUGACCAACUUAUAUCUCAUCAUGUGGACAUAGCUCAUUUUGUUUCCCUAUUUGUUACUGAAGAACAUAUGAGUCCUUUCUACAUUUUGUGUGUAGUGGCAGAAGUUGAUACUAGGUGUCUUCUUUUACCGCUCUGUCAUUGGACCUGGGGCUCACUGAUUCGAUAGAGUAGCUGGCCAACAAGCCCCUGGAAUCCUCCUAUCUCUACCUCCCAGCUGUGGAAUUACAAGCUUAGGCUCCCAGCUCCCAUGCCUAGCUUUUUAUAUGGGGGUUGGGGAUCCAAACUCAAGCCCCCAUCUUGCUGACCUAAGUAACUUGCAUAAGGUCACAGCUGAUAAGUAAAACUGGGCUAGCAAUCUAGGAAUGUCAGAGGAUGUACUGGGAAUCUUGAAAGAGUAAACAUGGCAAAAGUUAAGCCUUGGAGAAAGACAUUUCUCACUGACCAGCAGAAAGGACAGAUUCUCAAAAAGACACUGGGAAUAAAGGGGGGCUGCUGUCAGGCCAGUGAUUCUUCUUGAGUCGUCCUAGUUCCUCAGUGGGAGGUACUCACGUUAGUCACAACUCCAGUUGAUGUGUGAGAUGCAGCUGCUCCAAGGUGCCUUCCUGCACCUUAAGUCACCUGGAGCCAACAUCCUAGUUGGUUCUUUGCCACCACCGCCAUCUUACUAUAUCACCCUCAGUUUUGUAUCCUGUCAGGCAUCAAACACACCAGCUGGUCAUCACAGGUAACCAUGGAGACAGCAGGUAUGGCCAGGGUCACCAAAGCUCCUCUUAUUACCCUCUGCCUCAUGUGGUUAUGUCCAUGGGACUAGCAUGUGGCAUCGGUUCCAGUUUCUGCUCAGCAACCACUCAUGUUUCAACUCCUAAUCAGGUUACAAGGCAAAGUCAACAUUAAAGCCCAGAUUUGAGGUGGGUUUGUAUUUCUGCUUCAGGAAUCCUGUAGGGAGUAUUUGUCAGACUUUUAAUCGCUGAAACCAACUUCCCAGGAAGGCAAUUGUGUUAGUCAGCAUUCUCUAGAGAAACAGAACUUACAGAAUGAGUCUCUCUCUCUCUCUCUCUCUCUCUCUCUCUCUCUCUCUCUCUCUCUCUCUCUCUCGAUAUAUUAGAAUGGCUUAUGGGUGGUUCAGUUAGUCUGACAAUGGCUGUCUGUCUACCAAUAGAGGGUUCAAGAAUCCAGUAGUGGUUGUCUCUGCUGGUCUUCAGUACACAACGGAAUCCUGAAGAAGUGGUCUCUAAUGCCAGUGAAAGAAUGGUCUUGCUAGCAAGAGUGAGCAGGAAAAAAUACUUUUUCCUUCUUCUAAGACCUUUAUAUAGGCUUCUAGCAGAAGGUGGCCCCAGAUUAAAGGUGGAUCAUCCCAUAUC
RNAcentral lists this long non-coding RNA (2252 nucleotides) under Mus musculus (house mouse). RNAcentral describes it as "long non-coding RNA chr7:109789307-109791559". The record is from RNAcentral. Lineage: Eukaryota; Metazoa; Chordata; Mammalia; Rodentia; Muridae.